This is a long non-coding RNA of Mustela erminea (ermine), 355 nucleotides long. RefSeq lists it as uncharacterized. The transcript is spliced from 3 exons. Lineage: Eukaryota; Metazoa; Chordata; Mammalia; Carnivora; Mustelidae. The record is from RefSeq and is a predicted model, not a curated record.
GGAUCAAACCCCAAGAGAGACCCUUCUGUAAUUCCCAUGCUGAGCUGAAUUCAGGAGCUGUUCAAGAAGGUGCUGCCCCAUCAGUGCCUGGGCUCCAUCUGGUCCACGAGGAACAAGCCUGGAAAUGAGUACUUGGCAUUCACAGGUGGUCCAGGCCACCAUCACCUGGUUCAAUGGAGUGGCCAGCUGCAUUAUCACCACUUGCCUUGGUAACCCAAGCAUGACAGCCAGGGACAGGGCUGUGGUCAUGGCGCACUGGAUCAAGAGGGCAAGGCCUGUCAUGUCUUGGGGAACUAUUCCUCCCUGCGUGCCAUCCUCUCAGUUCUGCAGAGUUACUCCAUACACUGCCUGAAGA